AUGGAAAGCAAUAGGGCUCCUGGACCUGAUAAUAUCUGCGAGUUUUAUAAACACUGCUGGGAUUUCGUCAAAAAAGAUAUAUUGCGGUUGUUUGAAGCCUUUCACAAUAAUACCCUGGAUGUAGCCCGUCUGAAUUAUGGCAUUAUCACCUUGAUUCCCAAGCUGAAUGGGGCCAAACGAAUUCAGCAAUAUCGUCCUAUCUGCCUGCUUUGAUGCCCCUAUAAGCUUAUUACUAAGGUGUUGGACAAUAGGGUGGCUAUCUUCGCUGAUAAGCUGAUCAGUAAACACCAAAAUGCCUUCAUCAAACAUAGGAACAUUAUGGAUGGGAUGCUUACAUUGCAUGAAGUGCUG
Molecule: ribosomal RNA, 351 nt
Filed under: Triticum aestivum (bread wheat)
Lineage: Eukaryota; Viridiplantae; Streptophyta; Magnoliopsida; Poales; Poaceae
Description: partial small subunit ribosomal RNA
Source: RNAcentral